RNAcentral lists this ribosomal RNA (253 nucleotides) under uncultured bacterium. Its description in RNAcentral is "partial 16S ribosomal RNA". It matches the Rfam family "Bacterial small subunit ribosomal RNA", at positions 524 to 776 of the family's 1533-position model. The record is from RNAcentral.
UACGUAGGGUGCGAGCGUUAAUCGGAAUUACUGGGCGUAAAGCGUGCGCAGGCGGUUUUGUAAGCCAGGUGUGAAAGCCCCGGGCUCAACCUGGGAAUGGCAUUUGGGACUGCAAGGCUGGAGUUUGGCAGAGGAGACUGGAAUUCCUGGUGUAGCAGUGAAAUGUGUAGAUAUCAGGAGGAAUACCGAUGGCGAAGGCAGGUCUCUGGGCUAUAACUGACGCUCAUGCACGAAAGCGUGGGGAGCAAACAGG